Molecule: non-coding RNA, 1894 nt
Organism: Misgurnus anguillicaudatus (oriental weatherfish)
Lineage: Eukaryota; Metazoa; Chordata; Actinopteri; Cypriniformes; Cobitidae
Source: RefSeq, a predicted model, not a curated record
ACAGGUGACGGUUUGUGAGGGCGGAACCAAAAGUGUGGAAGACGGGUUCCGCCCGAUGAUGGUUCCGCCCGGACGCUUCACCCUGAACACCGGAAUUUCCGGGGUUUCCCCGAAGCCGAAAUUAAGCCUGAUUACGCUCAGGUGGGGAUAAUUUACACAGCGGUUACUAAUAGGCUGACAAGGAGAAGAGUCAGAGCAUAAAAAGACCUUUGAAGACAUCAAACGGGGUGCUUGUGGUGUACUUUGUAUACGCUGUGUUGCUGCUUUGCAGACGGACUACGCUGGCUUGAUCGUUCCCCUGGGGAAGAGAGAAAGGCACAGUCAGCUAGCGAAGGAAUACUGGGAGACUUCACUCGGGAGAGAGCGGACACAGAGCAUUCAACAGGGCAGAUAUUAGAAGUCAUUGACAACGAAGAGUCCCUGGCCCCACUGAAAGGAAAGCGUGGGCGAGCCGCGGGUUGACCGGAAGCACGGACGAAACAAUUGGUAGGAAGCACCGUUCACCAAUAGAGCAGUGGCCCUGUGGGAAAAAGGAAGCGCAGGUGAGCCAGAGGAGCGAUAAAUAACACGCCGGGCCUGUGAAUAACACACAUCUCACUCUCAUUGGCGGUCCAGCUAUCGCCCAACUAUCCUCUCGAGGUAGUCGUAGCCAGGUGGCGAGGGCGAUCUAAAAAUCACGUGAAGUUGUAUAAGAGUGCUGUGGGUGAGUCUCACUGAUUGAUGGUGUUUACGCUUUACUUGCUGUGUGUAUGCUGUGCUUGUAGCGUCCAAACUGCCUAGCCUCAGACGAGCCGCGAGACGACGACAUCUGUUGUGGCCUGGGUCCUAAGGAGAGCGAGGAAAUUAAGCCCUGUGCCCUGGGUGUGUCAACGAGAGCUUCGUUCUGCCAUAGAGCAGACAGUGGUGAAACCCAGUGAGUAUUAUAAGAAGUGUACCGUGCGGAUUGAGGAUUAUAGCUGUGUGUGUACUGACCUUUCCAACAGAAGCUCGUGGUGAGCGGAGCCCCGACGAAAGUUCGCCCCAACUCGGGACCCUGGCCGUGGAGGUAGGAGGGGGAGUUUGGGAAGCGUUCGGCUCCGUGCCACUGGACCCACCAGUCCCUACGACGCCCGGACAACUUGAGUGGAUGGGCGAAGGAAUACGGUACACCAACGCUGUAGCGAAAACCCACUGUCUGCAAGUGAACGAAGACAUCCAGUGCUGAGGGUAACGUAACUGGUGAGCUGAAAUUAACCUGUGCUUAUAGCAAUCACCUACCUGUGUUCCAGCGAAGGCUCCGUGUGAGCAAAGAUCCCCAGUGCUGUGAGUAACGUAACUUGUGAAGUGAAAUUGUUCUGUGCUUAUAGCAAUCACCUACCUGUGUUCCAGCGAAGGCUCCGUGUGAGCGAAGAUCCCCAGUGCUGUGAGUAACGUAACCUGUGAAGUGAAAUUGUUCUGUGCUUAUAGCAAUCACCUACCUGUGUUCCAGCGAAGGCUCCGUGUGAGCGAAGAUCCCCAGUGCUGUGAGUAACGUAUUCUGGAAGUGGAAAUUAACCUGUGCUUACAGCGAUUACUUACUAGUGUUUGAAGACUCUUGGCGAGUGAGGAGCCCCAGUGUUGGUUUGAAGAGCCGCGUGACUAAGGCACGGGAGACAGAGAGAAAGAGGAAGAGGGGUGAGAAGAGUAGCGAUCUGCAACAAAGUAACACACCAUCAACUAACUUUUAUUUGAUUCUGCCUCCAGGAGAAGCGGAGCGCGCCACGGAUUCUCGGGCCGGAGCCCUAAAAGAGCCUCUGUCCCCAGUCCUUAUCCCAAGUGGCCCUGGAGGAGGGAAGAAGACCCAUUAGUUUUAAAUUACCCCUUCCCCUUUUUCCCCCUUCCUUUUAAAUAUUUAAUAAAGAUUAUUUUAACGAUA